CGAGGAGCUGGUGCUCCAUUGUUUGUGAUUUUUAUUUAAGUAAGCAAAACUUAACUUGUGGGGGUGUUUGGUUUUUGAUUUAUACCAUGUCCGAUAAGGGUGCAAAUCGGUGCUUCUAGAUGGCUUGUUAUACCAAAAAACUGCAUCACAUUCAACUAUUUCUGAACAAUGUCACCCAUGUGUUCAUGGUUUUCACAGCAAUACAACUUCCAUGCCAGGAUUAGCAUAACAUAUGUGAUCCUUUUUGUUUUGCUUUUGAAAUCUUAGGACUACAGGGCAAAAAAAAGUUUAAAAUAG
Pelobates cultripes (western spadefoot toad) is the source of this 297-nucleotide non-coding RNA. NCBI's taxonomy places the organism in Eukaryota, Metazoa, Chordata, Amphibia, Anura, Pelobatidae. The record is from the annotation of a GenBank genome assembly.